CAGUCGAGCGGAGACAGUGAGUAGCUUGCUAUGAGCUGUUUUAGCGGCGGACGGGUGAGUAACGCGUGAGCAACCUUUCCCAGACAGGGGAAUAACACACCGAAAGGUGUACUAAUACCGCAUAAGACCACGGGAUCACAUGGUUCUGAGGUAAAAGAUUUAUCGGUUUGGGGUGGGCUCGCGUCCGAUUAGGUAGUUGGUGAGGUAACGGCCCACCAAGCCGACGAUCGGUAGCCGACCUGAGAGGGUGAUCGGCCACAUUGGGACUGAGACACGGCCCAAACUCCUACGGGAGGCAGCAGUGGGGAAUAUUGGGCAAUGGAGGAAACUCUGACCCAGCAACGCCGCGUGGAGGAAGAAGGUUUUCGGAUCGUAAACUCCUGUCCUUGGAGACGAGUAGAAGACGGUAUCCAAGGAGGAAGCCCCGGCUAACUACGUGCCAGCAGCCGCGGUAAUACGUAGGGGGCAAGCGUUGUCCGGAAUAAUUGGGCGUAAAGGGCGCGUAGGCGGCUCGGUAAGUCUGGAGUGAAAGUCCUGCUUUUAAGGUGGGAAUUGCUUUGGAUACUGUCGGGCUUGAGUGCAGGAGAGGUUAGUGGAAUUCCCAGUGUAGCGGUGAAAUGCGUAGAGAUUGGGAGGAACACCAGUGGCGAAGGCGACUAACUGGACUGUAACUGACGCUGAGGCGCGAAAGUGUGGGGAGCAAACAGGAUUAGAUACCCUGGUAGUCCACACUGUAAACGAUGAAUGCUAGGUGUAGGGGGUAUCGACCCCUUCUGUGCCGCAGUCAACACAAUAAGCAUUCCGCCUGGGGAGUACGGCCGCAAGGUUGAAAC
RNAcentral lists this ribosomal RNA (833 nucleotides) under uncultured bacterium. RNAcentral describes it as "bacterial SSU rRNA". It matches the Rfam family "Bacterial small subunit ribosomal RNA", at positions 59 to 900 of the family's 1533-position model. The record is from RNAcentral.